Molecule: unclassified non-coding RNA, 315 nt
Filed under: Bombus terrestris (buff-tailed bumblebee)
Lineage: Eukaryota; Metazoa; Arthropoda; Insecta; Hymenoptera; Apidae
Description: misc RNA ENSBTSG00005020768.1
Source: RNAcentral
CAACUUUUAGAGAAUGUUGAGACAAAGAUUGGUAUAAAUUUCAUUCUAUGUCUUGCAUUUUACGAUAUUUUCACUUGUAUUAUGGUAUAUUCACUGUUUCGAUAGUAUUAGGUUGUCCGGAAAGUUUCUUUCCUUUCAGAAGGUGAUUAUAGAUAAACAACAAUUUCUGUUUUACAUUAUUUUAUUUUAUUUUAUUGAAUUAUUUCUAUUAUUAUGUUCGUGCAUAAUUCAAUAAAUUAAUAUGAAACAAAAAACAUCGUGCGUCUAUUAUUUCCUUAUAAAACGAAAGAAACAUUUUGAAUAACCUAAUGUCAC